RNAcentral lists this ribosomal RNA (427 nucleotides) under uncultured bacterium. RNAcentral describes it as "bacterial SSU rRNA". It matches the Rfam family "Bacterial small subunit ribosomal RNA", at positions 354 to 796 of the family's 1533-position model. The record is from RNAcentral.
GUGGGGAAUUUUCCGCAAUGGGCGCAAGCCUGACGGAGCAACGCCGCGUGAGGGAUGAAGGCCUCUGGGCUGUAAACCUCUUUUCUCAAGGAAGAAGAUCUGACGGUACUUGAGGAAUAAGCCACGGCUAAUUCCGUGCCAGCAGCCGCGGUAAUACGGGAGUGGCAAGCGUUAUCCGGAAUUAUUGGGCGUAAAGCGUCCGCAGGCGGCCUUGAAAGUCUGUUGUUAAAACGUGGAGCUCAACUCCAUUUCGGCAAUGGAAACUACAAGGCUAGAGUGUGGUAGGGGCAGAGGGAAUUCCCGGUGUAGCGGUGAAAUGCGUAGAUAUCGGGAAGAACACCAGUGGCGAAGGCGCUCUGCUGGGCCAUAACUGACGCUCAUGGACGAAAGCCAGGGGAGCGAAAGGGAUUAGAAACCCCAGUAGUCC